GACGAACGCUGGCGGCGUGCUUAACACAUGCAAGUCGAACGAAGAGCGACGGAAGCUUGCUUCUAUCAAUCUUAGUGGCGCACGGGUGAGUAACGCGUAAUCAACCUGCCCUUCAGAGGGGGACAACAGUUGGAAACGACUGCUAAUACCGCAUACGAUCUAACCUCGGCAUCGAGGAUAGAUGAAAGGUGGCCUCUACAUGUAAGCUAUCACUGAAGGAGGGGAUUGCGUCUGAUUAGCUAGUUGGAGGGGUAACGGCCCACCAAGGCGAUGAUCAGUAGCCGGUCUGAGAGGAUGAACGGCCACAUUGGGACUGGGACACGGCCCAGACUCCUACGGGAGGCAGCAGUGGGGAAUCUUCCGCAAUGGACGAAAGUCUGACGGAGCAACGCCGCGUGAGUGAUGACGGCCUUCGGGUUGUAAAGCUCUGUUAAUCGGUACGAAAGGCCUUCUUGCGAAUAGUGAGAAGGAUUGACGGUACCGGAAUAGAAAGCCACGGCUAACUACGUG
RNAcentral lists this ribosomal RNA (510 nucleotides) under uncultured bacterium. RNAcentral describes it as "partial 16S ribosomal RNA". It matches the Rfam family "Bacterial small subunit ribosomal RNA", at positions 28 to 507 of the family's 1533-position model. The record is from RNAcentral.